AGAGUUUGAUCCUGGCUCAGAACGAACGCUGGCGGCAGGCCUCAAACAUGCAAGUCUAGGGGGUGUAGCAAUACAUCACCGGCGGACGGGUGCGUAACACGUGGGAAUAUACCUUUUGGUUCGGAACAACGCAGGGAAACUUGCGCUAAUACCGAAUGUGCCCUUACGGGGAAAGAUUUAUCGCCAAAGGAUUAGCCCGCGUAGGAUUAGCUAGUUGGUGAGGUAAUGGCUCACCAAGGCUCCGAUCCUUAGCUGUUCUGAGAGGAAGAUCAGCCACACUGGGACUGAGACACGGCCCAGACUCCUACGGGAGGCAGCAGUUGGGAAUCUUGGACAAUGGGGGAAACCCUGAUCCGAGCCAUGCCGCGUGAGUGAUGAAGGCCUUCGGGUUGUAAAACUCUUCG
Molecule: ribosomal RNA, 404 nt
Filed under: uncultured bacterium
Lineage: Bacteria
Description: bacterial SSU rRNA
Rfam family: Bacterial small subunit ribosomal RNA
Source: RNAcentral